UACGGAGGGUGCAAGCGUUAAUCGGAAUUACUGGGCGUAAAGGGCUCGUAGGCGGCCAACUAAGUCAGACGUGAAAUCCCUCGGCUUAACCGGGGAACUGCGUCUGAUACUGGAUGGCUCGAGUUUGGGAGAGGGAUGCGGAAUUCCAGGUGUAGCGGUGAAAUGCGUAGAUAUCUGGAGGAACACCGGUGGCGAAGGCGGCAUCCUGGACCAAUACUGACGCUGAAUAGCGAAAGCCAGGGGAGCAAACGGG
RNAcentral lists this ribosomal RNA (253 nucleotides) under uncultured bacterium. RNAcentral's name for it is "partial 16S ribosomal RNA". It matches the Rfam family "Bacterial small subunit ribosomal RNA", at positions 524 to 776 of the family's 1533-position model. The record is from RNAcentral.